GCGGGGGUAGCUCAACCGGAUAGAGCAAUGGCCUUCUAAGCCAUAGGUUAUGAGUUCGAUUCUCAUCCCUCGCA
Molecule: transfer RNA, 74 nt
Filed under: Rhodoferax saidenbachensis
Lineage: Bacteria; Pseudomonadati; Pseudomonadota; Betaproteobacteria; Burkholderiales; Comamonadaceae
Also listed under: 1 other name
Rfam family: tRNA
About the family: Transfer RNA (tRNA) molecules are approximately 80 nucleotides in length. Their secondary structure includes four short double-helical elements and three loops (D, anti-codon, and T loops). Further hydrogen bonds mediate the characteristic L-shaped molecular structure. tRNAs have two regions of fundamental functional importance: the anti-codon, which is responsible for specific mRNA codon recognition, and the 3' end, to which the tRNAs corresponding amino acid is attached (by aminoacyl-tRNA synthetases). tRNAs cope with the degeneracy of the genetic code in two manners: having more than one tRNA (with a specific anti-codon) for a particular amino acid; and 'wobble' base-pairing, i.e. permitting non-standard base-pairing at the 3rd anti-codon position.
Source: Rfam by way of RNAcentral